AUAUAUAUAUAUAUAUGGUUUUCCCUAUUACAUUUAGAAAGCAUUGUGAUGUUUCUGCUCAGGCAGCUCAGACGGAUGACCCUCUGAAGUACGCAGUUGCCACAGUUCUGGUAAGGGUUCUUGCAGAAAACAAGUUUCCCCCACAAUUCAGCCGCUCAGCAUAUCGUGGCUUCGUCAGCGAGAGCACAAGUCCGGCUUCACUCGUCAUGACGUACGCCAACAAAUUACUCAUCCUGGAGGCCACAGAUCAAGACUUUACCAACGUACGUGACUACAAAACCACAAACACACUGACAACAUCCAGUUUCAACAUCACAAAGCCACUGUUUUGACACUCAUUGCAUAAAAUAAGGAUUUAUGUUCCAGUUUAAGCCUAAGAAAUCGAGUUUUGCUGUAUGUUUGUGGGUUAAAGGGCUUCAAUCCCAGACUGCAGUAUUCUCUAAACUCCCAAAUCAACAGCUCUCGGCUCUUUUACAUUACACAAGAAGCUCUGCUCAUCGCUAAAACCAGCCAGCUGCACCCCGGACACAAAUACUUCCUAGAGGUAUGCCAGCAACACCGUUCAUAAGCACUAUGCUAAUCAUAAUUUUUACAACUAUUGCAUAUUUUUAACAACUGUGUUGCAGGUAUUGGCCACUGACCUGGAGUCAGGAGAUACUGUUAAAGCUACAUUGCAUGUGGAAGUUCUUCAAAGAGGCCAAACAGUCCCACAGGGCCCGUUGGGGGUAGGUUAUCCAUACAGUCGUGAGACAGUGGGCAGGGCAGAGGGUGUGGCAGGGGUGUGUCUGAUCCUGCUGGCCAUUACCUUAUUUACUGUGGUGCGGUGCAUCCGGAUGAGCAGAGAGAAGCGGGAUCACGUCAUACGCAACACUGUGGCUGACAGCACACACCCUAAUGUGAAACUGCGGUGGUUCCAGAUGGUGAACCACAGCGCACCAAUGCCUUUAAUGGAGGACACAUUUUCACGUCACAACGAGGCGUUCAGCGAAUACGACUACUCCACUUCACCCUUCUACGGCAAACAGGGCAUCUACACCAAAACAGAAGAACCACCACCAUCAUCAUCAUCAUCUGCUGCAAACUUACCAUCAAUAACAUUUAACAAAUCCCUAUUAAAAGAACCAAGACGCAAUUAUCUGGCGCUGCGGCCCAACGGGAGACCCGUGCACAGAUUCAACAAUAAAACAGUGUCAUUUCAGGACUACGUCGUGGUUCGCGAAUGUGACGAGGAGAGUGAAGAAACCACCACCUUCACAACCGAAGUAGAAGUCUGCUCGGAUUUUGAGGAAAUUAACAUGGAUUAUGGAUUAGAAAAUGGCGAUUCGGAUGUCACCGAAGAACUUGAAAUACAAAGUCCCACUUCAUAUUGUGACGAUGCAUCAGAAAUGCUUAAUACACAAGUCGACCAAGACUAUGAAACUGCCAUUGCAAAUCAGACCGAUUCUGAAGAUAUUCAUGCAGAUCCACCACAAAAAGUAUCUGGAAUACACAGAAUUAAGUCUGACCUGGAGAAAAUACACAGAGACUCGACUUUAACUCCAGAACGAGACCAUUCGCCAUCGCAAAAAACUCAUUCAGAAGAUGCUGCGUUCUCCAGUUUUAAAGGAGAGUCGCAAAUAAUAAACACUAAAGCCUUGGUUUCCUAUAAACAUUCAGAAAACGUUCAGUCAGAUUGUGUCAGACAGUCUGACGAUCUCACUGUAGAUGCUGUGGUUUCAGGAGCUGAAAGUUCUGUGCAAAACACUCAAGAUGCAAGUAACUUCACCGCUGAUCUACAAACUCAUGACUCCUAUUACAUUAACGAGGACAUCGCAACUAAUUUAGACGACAGCAGUCCAGGAGAGCAGUCCGGGUCUAGUUCAGAUUCAAGCAGUCAACAACUGAACUAUCUUCAGGUUCUUCAGUUUUUCGACAAACAUCUUGACGAUGAUGGCGAUUAA
Danio rerio (zebrafish) is the source of this 1940-nucleotide long non-coding RNA. NCBI's taxonomy places the organism in Eukaryota, Metazoa, Chordata, Actinopteri, Cypriniformes, Danionidae. The record is from Ensembl.